GUAAAGGUGGCUGAGUUGAUAGGCGGUGGGUUGUAAUUCCAUUUAUGAGGUGUGUCCUUUCUUUACA
RNAcentral lists this transfer RNA (67 nucleotides) under Lophosaurus spinipes (Southern forest dragon). RNAcentral describes it as "tRNA-Tyr". It matches the Rfam family "tRNA". From Rfam's summary of the family: Transfer RNA (tRNA) molecules are approximately 80 nucleotides in length. Their secondary structure includes four short double-helical elements and three loops (D, anti-codon, and T loops). Further hydrogen bonds mediate the characteristic L-shaped molecular structure. tRNAs have two regions of fundamental functional importance: the anti-codon, which is responsible for specific mRNA codon recognition, and the 3' end, to which the tRNAs corresponding amino acid is attached (by aminoacyl-tRNA synthetases). tRNAs cope with the degeneracy of the genetic code in two manners: having more than one tRNA (with a specific anti-codon) for a particular amino acid; and 'wobble' base-pairing, i.e. permitting non-standard base-pairing at the 3rd anti-codon position. Lineage: Eukaryota; Metazoa; Chordata; Lepidosauria; Squamata; Agamidae. The record is from RNAcentral.